GAUGAACGCUGGCGGCGUGCCUAAUACAUGCAAGUCGAGCGAACAGACGAGGAGCUUGCUCCUCUGACGUUAGCGGCGGACGGGUGAGUAACACGUGGAUAACCUACCUAUAAGACUGGGAUAACUUCGGGAAACCGGAGCUAAUACCGGAUAAUAUAUUGAACCGCAUGGUUCAAUAGUGAAAGACGGUUUUGCUGUCACUUAUAGAUGGAUCCGCGCCGCAUUAGCUAGUUGGUAAGGUAACGGCUUACCAAGGCGACGAUGCGUAUCCGACCUGAGAGGGAGAAUGACCACAAUGGAACUGAGACACGGUCCAGACUCGUACGGGAGGCAGCAGUAGGGAAUCUUCCGCAAUGGUCGAAAGCCUGACGGAGCAACGCCGCGUGAGUGAUGAAGGUCUUCGGAUCGUAAAACUCUGUUAUUAGGGAAGAACAAAUGUGUAAGUAACUAUGCACGUCUUGACGGUACCUAAUCAGAAAGCCACGGCUAACUACGUG
Molecule: ribosomal RNA, 497 nt
Filed under: uncultured bacterium
Lineage: Bacteria
Description: partial 16S ribosomal RNA
Rfam family: Bacterial small subunit ribosomal RNA
Source: RNAcentral